CUCACCUGGGAAACCAGUGGGAUGAGGGUCUGUUCUACCGACCGAGUUUUGAUUUCCAGUCCGGAAUCAAAGUUACUAUUGCCGCAAGGAGACGAAGCCAUUCCCGCCGGUUUCUUUUAAUCACUGGUGCGACGUACAGGUCCUGACCAGAUGGCCACUGGUGAUGGAGAAGACCUGGAUUCCAUUGGCCAGGCUCACUCGUCUUUAUCGAUGAUGCAAUGGAGGAUGGCAGCAGUAGGAUGAAUUUGGAAGUGUACAGACAGAUUUUUCCUCGAUGUGUGCAAAUAAAUUCCUCCUACCUCAGUGGCCUGCACUUCAUCCAGCAGCAAGACAAUGAUCCUGAACACUGCCUACGCAACCAAAGCAUUCAUCAAUGGGAAAAAGUGGAAAGUUUUGGGCUAGGUCAGUCACCUGUUUUAAAUCCAAUCAAGCAUGCAUUUCACUUGCUGAAGAGGAGACUGAAGACAGAAACCCUCCAAAAUAAAGAUCAAUUGAAAGCGGCGGCACCGAAGGCCAGGAAAGGCAUUUCCAAAAACAACACCGAAUGAUUCAUGAUGUUAAUUUGUCGUAGACUUAGCUAAUCUGUGAACUUACGCUUGUACAGUUGAAAAUGGGGGAACUCAACACAUAAACAGCUGUUUCAGUAAAAUGGUAAAACAUAUACACAUGGCAGGUAAAUACCAUGAUAUGAAAGCUGGUUGUCUGUGCUUUUGCCUCAUAUUCAUCUUUUGAUGUCUAAUCAAAAUGCCAAAAAUGAUACAUUUCACUCUAAUAUACUUUUGGAAGGCACUGUAUGUGUCCUGGGGCACAUGUUAAAGGGAACCCCACCUGUUAAGACUUAGGCAUUCAUAUGGUGUAAAUGCCUUCAAUAAUAUAAAUAUGCCAUAAAAACCACAUAAAAGAUUUUAGUUAUUUUAAAAUGAGUAAAAAUCCUUUUGGCUCACAGGUCACCAUUGUUAAUACCAUCACAAUGCACUCUGGGUAGUGAUGUAAAAUGGUUGUCGGUCCAUUGCUCUUGUCCAUUGAAUGGCAUUGAAAAUGUUUUCUGUUCAGCCUUUUUGAUUCGGGCCAGAGCUGGACAUUACUCAUCAAAUAAAUCAAAACGAUUAAGAUCGGAGUCCAGAUAACAACAUAACAAUUUCUCUAUCCUCAUGGACCAGGUCAAACUGGGUUUAACACGUUUAUGUCUACCUCUAUCUUCUGGGGCACAUAAUUCAUUUUAGAAGAAUGUGCUACCUAAAUUCUUUUAACCUUUUCUCUCCCAAACUGCAUAAUACUGUUGAUUAUUAUUUCUGCGUACACAUAGAAAGGGAAAUAUAUGUCCGUAUGUAAUUUUUAUUUUAUUUUUAUUUAACCAGGAAAACCCCAUUGAGAUUGAAAUCUCUUUUGCAAGGGGGACCUGACAUAUAACACAAUGUUACCCAACAAGACUUACACCUAACAAAAUGUACAAACAUCAAAUGGGGAAUGAGACAGAGUGUAACAAUAAUUAAAAGUACAGAAGAGGUUAAAAGUAGGAGCAUACUUCGGUCACAGAGUCAUGUUUAAAGUCCACAAUUGAAAUUAAUUUGUCAAGUUAAAAAUUCUUUUGCAGAUUGUGUUCCAACUAUAAGGUGCAAAAUAUCUGAAACCUAUCUUACCAAAUUCAGUAGUGGGACGAGGGACUUUAAAGAGUAUCACGUCCCCAGAGCGGAGGUGAUAAUUAUGUGAAUUUCUAAUUAGCAGACAGCUGCUUUCUUCAGAGACCCGGUUAGUGCCUAACACAUGGAAUUCACAUUAUUCAGAUUUUUUUUUUAGUAUUCAUGGUAAAAAGACAUUCAGUUUGCCUGCUGUUUGUGUAGAGAGAUAUGCGAGAUAUCUUCCAUAUCUGCUCCAGUAGUUUUACAGAUAUGUUUUGGGAUGCAUAGGAGUUUCUUGAUGUUCUCUUUGAGAGAUUAUUUAGCCAAGCAUUCCAGCAGGUGUUUAAAACUGACUACAUUGUAAUAAAAAAAGCAUCAUGAUGUCCCGGUCAACCAGCAUUUGCUGUAUUUCAUAUUGGACACGCUUUCAUUUAUAGGAUGCAGGACCUUCACGGAUGACGCUGCUCAUCCUCUAUCUAGACUCGUAUGUGGAUCAUUGCCUCUCUUAGUUCCCAGAACCUGUAAUAUUCCUGCUGCAAAACGUUCACUAAAAUAUGGGCUCAAUUUAGGAAAUUUUCACUUUCAGUCAUUCUGCUCUCCCCAGUUGCUGAAAAUCAUACUUAGAUCCCUUGUAUCCUUUAAUGAUUGGUACAGAAAGGGCUUAAAAUGUCUGAUAGAUUUGUUUAACAAUUGCUUUGGCUCUUUUAAUAGCUAUUCCAUAUUUAUAACAUUAUAAACUCUUAACUUUGUGAGGUUUUUACAGCCAAGAUGGUAUGAAUGCAAAUACCCCAAUUGCCUGUUACCACCCAACAGUCCCAUCAAUGCGCUGAAUCUGGAAUCACAGGUACAGCGUCUAGGCUGGAUAAUUGUAUUUCUAAUUUGAAUGGUCUGUCCAUGUCUACCCAGGGAUCUGCAGCGGAGCAAUUUAAUAUGGUGCUUACAGAUGACUUAUGGCUCACUCCCUGCACCUGCCAUGCACUGAUUUAAUUUAAAGUUCUUCAGUGACUUCAUAAGUAAAAUAUAAUUACAAAUGCACCCAGAGGAUCUAACAUCUGGUGGACCUCAGAUGUAACAGAUGUAGAACAGCCCCAGACUCAUUUUCACACAUUCUCAUUUUCACCAAUAGUUCAUGCCCUGGAUUAAUGAGUUCUGUAGUUCUGAGUCUGAACCUCUUUCCUAAAUAAUGAAAAAUGUGUGAAAUGUGUUAUUUAAAAAAAAUCUUUAUGAGUGUAGUGCUAAUUCUACCAAUGUUAAUGGGGGAGGUGAUGAAGAUUAAGGUGACAGCAAUGACGAAGAUGCAAUUGCCUGAAU
Anguilla rostrata (American eel) is the source of this 2930-nucleotide long non-coding RNA. RefSeq lists it as uncharacterized. Lineage: Eukaryota; Metazoa; Chordata; Actinopteri; Anguilliformes; Anguillidae. The record is from RefSeq and is a predicted model, not a curated record. The transcript has 3 exons.